This is a long non-coding RNA of Solanum verrucosum, 210 nucleotides long. RefSeq lists it as uncharacterized. The record is from RefSeq and is a predicted model, not a curated record. Lineage: Eukaryota; Viridiplantae; Streptophyta; Magnoliopsida; Solanales; Solanaceae. The transcript is spliced from 2 exons.
GGAGCAACAGAGUACAUGGUGGCUUAGUUUGCAUGAUUUAACAGCUCUUCAGAAUUCUGAUGGUCCGCGGGAAGUCUUGUUUCAUAUUCAGAAAUCACCAAAGAAUAUUAUAAUUUGAAGAAAGAUUACGUAAAGAAUGAUCUCACCUAGGGGAACCUUUUAGUGUAAAAUAAAUUUAGUGGGGUGCUUGUCUUGGAAUGUAUGUGCCAA